AGGUCUGGCGGACCAGCGGAUCGGAGAAGUCCGACAGGCGGAACGGAUCGAAAUAGCCGCCCGGAUUGGCCGUCAUCCAGGCAUAGAUGCGGCUCGAUCCCAACCACUGCAGGAAGAGAUAGCAGGCUUCCGGAUUCUUGGACUGCGCCGAGACCGAAGCCGACAGGUUGAGCCACAACACAGAGCGACUGACCAGCUUGCCGUCGAUCUCGCGACCAGGCGGCAGCAU
Mesorhizobium loti is the source of this 229-nucleotide non-coding RNA. NCBI's taxonomy places the organism in Bacteria, Pseudomonadati, Pseudomonadota, Alphaproteobacteria, Hyphomicrobiales, Phyllobacteriaceae. The record is from Rfam.